CCUACGGGAGGCAGCAGUGGGGGAUAUUGCACAAUGGGGGAAACCCUGAUGCAGCGACGCCGCGUGGGUGAAGAAGCGCCUCGGCGCGUAAAGCCCUGUCAGCAGGGAAGAAAAUGACGGUAACUGAAGAAGAAGCCCCGGCUAACUACGUGCCAGCAGCCGCGGUAAUACGUAGGGGGCAAGCGUUAUCCGGAUUUACUGGGUGUAAAGGGGGCGCAGACGGCGAUGCAAGCCAGAAGUGAAAGCCCGGGGCCCAACCCCGGGACUGCUCUUGGAACUGCGUGGCUAGAGUGCAGGAGGGGCAGGCGGAAUUCCUGGUGUAGCGGUGAAAUGCGUAGAGAUCAGGAGGAACACCGGUGGCGAAGGCGGCCUGCUGGACUGCAACUGACGUUGAGGCCCGAAAGCGUGGGGAGCAAACAGGAUUAGAUACCCUAGUAGUC
Molecule: ribosomal RNA, 440 nt
Filed under: uncultured bacterium
Lineage: Bacteria
Description: partial 16S ribosomal RNA
Rfam family: Bacterial small subunit ribosomal RNA
Source: RNAcentral